UGGGGAAUAUUGGGCAAUGGGCGCAAGCCUGACCCAGCAACGCCGCGUGAAGGAAGAAGGCUUUCGGGUUGUAAACUUCUUUUCUGGGGGACGAAGAAGUGACGGUACCCCAGGAAUAAGCCACGGCUAACUACGUGCCAGCAGCCGCGGUAAUACGUAGGUGGCAAGCGUUAUCCGGAUUUAUUGGGUGUAAAGGGCGUGUAGGCGGGAGUGCAAGUCAGAUGUGAAAACUAUGGGCUCAACCCAUAGCCUGCAUUUGAAACUGUAUUUCUUGAGUGCUGGAGAGGCAAUCGGAAUUCCGUGUGUAGCGGUGAAAUGCGUAGAUAUACGGAGGAACACCAGUGGCGAAGGCGGAUUGCUGGACAGUAACUGACGCUGAGGCGCGAAAGCGUGGGGAGCAAACAGGAUUAGAUACC
This 416-nucleotide ribosomal RNA is filed under the name uncultured bacterium. Its description in RNAcentral is "bacterial SSU rRNA". It matches the Rfam family "Bacterial small subunit ribosomal RNA", at positions 355 to 786 of the family's 1533-position model. The record is from RNAcentral.